AUGGAAAUGUGAGUGCAAAAUUUAAUGAGAGUUAUGACAUCAAUUGGAAUUUCCCUUGGGAAAUAAAAUUUAAAAAAUAUUUUAAGAAAAAUCGCUCAACAAAAAAAGACUAUUGUAAACUUCCGGCCAUCUUAGAGCAACAAAAAAUAUUCUACGAAAUAUUUGUGUGGCCUUCCUUCAUCCACAAAAAAUACUAUAUCAUAAAUGAACUUUUAUUAAGUUCAAUUCAGGCAAUUCAAUCGUUUUCUGUAUAUUUCCUAUACGCAAUAAUGAACCACAAAAAAGUUCAUUCUAUUCACCUUCAAGAUCAAUUUUGAGGUGCGGUAAAUUCAGUUGAUUGAAAUGUUUAUUAUGCCCGUCGCAAGAGCCAAGACCAAGUCCAAAUCCACCCACUCGGAAUGAUCUACAAAGUUGGUUGAUGGGAGCACAGUGUGGAUGGAUGGACAGAUGAAUGCGAAUCAUUAUGAUGAGAGAUGAGAGAUGCACGGCCAUUGUUGGGGCGCCCACUCUCGUAGAAAGCUACAAACAACAAAAUGUAACCUUGAGAAAGAGACGGUGACGGAGGGGGGCUGUUCCCAAAAGGCAACAGCCAACUAACUGGCGAAUAAUUAGGCACCCCUGCCCCUCUAUGCUCAGCGAUGCCCUGCCCUGCCCUGCCCUGCUCGUAAACUAAAAUAAACUAUGCAAAUAAUUAAUGAAAGCCUACAGAAAGACGAAAAAAGAAAUAUAAUAAGGACAUGUGGCGCCUUUGUUUUGAGUCCAGCGGAAGUCAACGGCAGCCCCUGAUCCCUGAGCCCCGGAGACCCUGCUGCCUGCUGCCUACUGCCUACUGCCAACAGUCCCAAGGUGUUGCCUCUCACUCUCCGCUGCUGGGGCUGCUGGAGGGCUUCUGCUGGUGCUCCACCUCCCGCCACUGCACCCAUUUGAUGUUUGACAAUUUAUUUUGAUGGCACACAACACGCACAGAAUACGUGAAUGGAUCCUGGUCCUUGUAUAACCUAACGACAUCCAGACAUCAACCUCAAUGUCAGCAAAGAGGAUAGGCAACAGGGGAAAGAGGAUAGGGGACAGGGGCAUAGCAAACGGCAUUGAUUAAUUUCCAUUUCGUCCACGGCGAAAAAGCAAGGCAAGGUCAACGACUACGACGAACGUCAAUCCAUAGUGGAAAAUCGUUGAUAGGAUAAUGUGGC
RNAcentral lists this long non-coding RNA (1190 nucleotides) under Drosophila guanche. The record is from RNAcentral. Lineage: Eukaryota; Metazoa; Arthropoda; Insecta; Diptera; Drosophilidae.